CACGUAGGGCGCGAGCGUUGUCCGGAAUUAUUGGGCGUAAAGAGCUCGUAGGCGGCUCGUUGCGUCAACCGUGAAAACCCGGGGCUUAACUUCGGGCUUGCGGUUGAUACGGGCGGGCUGGAGUUCGGUAGGGGAGACUGGAAUUCCUGGUGUAGCGGUGAAAUGCGCAGAUAUCAGGAAGAACACCUAUGGCGAAGGCAGCUCUCUGGGACGGUACUGACGCUGAGACGCGAAAGCGUGGGGAGCGAACAGG
This 253-nucleotide ribosomal RNA is filed under the name uncultured bacterium. RNAcentral's name for it is "partial 16S ribosomal RNA". It matches the Rfam family "Bacterial small subunit ribosomal RNA", at positions 524 to 776 of the family's 1533-position model. The record is from RNAcentral.